GUAGGAGGCAAGCGUUAUCCGGAUUCACUGGGCGUAAAGCGCGUGCAGGCGGUUCGGUAAGUUGGGCGUGAAAUCUCCUGGCUUAACUAGGAGAGGUCGUUCAAUACUACCGGACUUGAGAGUGAUAGAGGAAGAUGGAAUUCCCGGUGUAGUGGUGAAAUGCGUAGAUAUCGGGAGGAACACCAGUGGCGAAAGCGAUCUUCUGGAUCAUUUCUGACGCUCAGACGCGAAAGCUAGGGUAGUAAACGGGAUUAGAGACCCCGGUAAUCCUAGCCGUAAACGAUGUAAACUUGGCGUCGGUGGCUUAAACUCCAUCGGUGCCGCAGCUAACGCGAUAAGUUUACCGCCUGGGGACUACGAUCGCAAGAUU
This 370-nucleotide ribosomal RNA is filed under the name uncultured bacterium. RNAcentral's name for it is "bacterial SSU rRNA". It matches the Rfam family "Bacterial small subunit ribosomal RNA", at positions 527 to 895 of the family's 1533-position model. The record is from RNAcentral.